CAGCCGCCACGGGAAUACGUAGGUGGCAAGCGUUGUCCGGAAUUAUUGGGCGUAAAGCGCGCGCAGGUGGUUUAAUAAGUCUGAUGUGAAAGCCCACGGCUCAACCGUGGAGGGUCAUUGGAAACUGUUAAACUUGAGUGCAGGAGAGAAAAGUGGAAUUCCUAGUGUAGCGGUGAAAUGCGUAGAGAUUAGGAGGAACACCGAUGGCGAAGGCAAUCCCCUGGGCCUGCACUGACGCUCAUGCACGAAAGCGUGGGGAGCAAACAGGAUUAGAUACCCAGUAGUCCCUGUCUCUUAUACA
This 301-nucleotide ribosomal RNA is filed under the name uncultured bacterium. RNAcentral describes it as "partial 16S ribosomal RNA". It matches the Rfam family "Bacterial small subunit ribosomal RNA", at positions 509 to 808 of the family's 1533-position model. The record is from RNAcentral.